ACUUACCUAUUCUGACCUGGACCCUUUUUUAUCUGAGCGUCAAUUUGCGACUUUUUAACUUCUAUAAUAAUCGGUGUAUGUGGUUUAAAUGCUGGAAUGAAGCUCUUUUUUCUACUUAUGAACUAGUUUUGUAAUUAUAAUGUCAUAAGCUAAAUUCAAAUUAUGUCAUAAACAUUCCCUUAUUUUGGCCAAACCUUCCAGAGAUCAGUACUCACAUGAGUCUCACAUGCAUUUAUCAACCUUGCUAGCACAAAAUCAGCAACUUUUGGGUCAAAGUUUUCAUCGAGUAAACUGUUGCUCGCUAUGAUAUCCCUAUGAAUAAUAUGGGGAAUGAACCCGUGAUGCAAAAAAUCUCAACCACGGGCUGCACCCACUGCAAUCUUGAACCUUUUAGCCCAUGUAAAGAUUUUCAUGUCUUCGGUUCACAUUCGUAGCCAAUGAUCCAAACUUCCGUUUUCCAUAAAGUCACCAAACAAGCAGUUUCUCUUCAUCAAAUGAGCAGUAACCAAGCAAAUACACUCUGCUAAUGUCUCCAUUUCAGCUAAAAACUGCCCUGCGAUUUUGAUUGGUUCAUUUUUUUUAUUACUACUGUCUUUCCAUUUGGUAACUGGGCUUUGUAGACAGUACCAAUCCACCAUCAGCAACAAUUUCAGACUUGCAGAAGUUGUUGGUGGCUUAAAGAAUGUCUGCGAUAGUCAACCGGGCUAGGGGUUGUUCAAACAUUGCUACGUUAAUACCCAAUGAUUCUUUUGACCUGCUGCUACUUAAAAGAUACAAAUUUUGAUCAACGGAAGUGCUGUUACUUGCACCAGGAUCUUCACAGUCAGACUUUUUCUUGAGUAUAUGAAUCUGUUGUAUUGCCAUAAAUGUUAUAAAAAUGGUGAUCAAUAAGGUCACAACGGCAAUUGAAGCCAGUGACCAUAAAAUAAAGAGCUUUCGCCCACUUUGAAAGCUUGUUUGGGUUUGGGUAAUAAUAGAAGCCACCAUUAUACUGUCAACAAUCGCUGAAAUUUGUGAUUUCAGUAACUUAAUGCAUCAAAUUGUUACUAAAUACUUUAAUUGUGACAUUAAUGUUUGAAUUUGUUACAAUAAUGCUCAAUUUUAUAACUUUACAUACAUGCUGUCUUACCUUUUCUUUUUUUCCCUUUCUUAUAAUAAGAAGUAAGAACAAUCUUUAGGGGUAUACAAAAACUUUUCUCAUGGGACAUUUAAACAAUAAAGUCUAAUUUGUUUCUCAACGGUUCUUUGUAGAAACCUUAGCAUUGAAAAACGCAAACCGAGGCGUGUUAUCGAGCAUGCGUAUCUUGUCCCGGAAGAAAUAGAAAUGAUGAGGGAGGAUCUGGACCCAAGAGGUGUGAAGAUGCAUCAUCCGCUUCAUACUUAGCGUCAAUUUGACUGUGCUUUUCUAUGCAAUGUGCAAUUGGACUAGUGAUUUUAUGUUUUUUCUACGUUUCAGUAGGUUAGUUGGUGCAACAAGUUUUAUGCAUAUUUAAUAGAUUUGUUGUUAUGUAAACAGUUUUAUUCUGUA
Molecule: long non-coding RNA, 1528 nt
Organism: Erigeron canadensis
Lineage: Eukaryota; Viridiplantae; Streptophyta; Magnoliopsida; Asterales; Asteraceae
Exons: 2
Source: RefSeq, a predicted model, not a curated record